Chlorocebus sabaeus (green monkey) is the source of this 1529-nucleotide long non-coding RNA. RefSeq lists it as uncharacterized. The record is from RefSeq and is a predicted model, not a curated record. Lineage: Eukaryota; Metazoa; Chordata; Mammalia; Primates; Cercopithecidae.
CUGUGUGUGACUCAGUCUGGAUGCCCAGGCUCUGAGCUGGCAGCUUUGUUCUCCCACUGGCCGGGUAGGCUGCGUGCUGCAGCCCUGAGUCACCCGGGUGUGGCCGAGCUGCUGGCGGGACAUACAUGGCCACAUUCACAGAGAACCACACAGAAGCUCAGGACACAGUGCCCUGGGAGCGGAGGGGCCCCCUGGUGUGGGUGCUGUCGCUGGUGCCUUUCCCUCGGUGGUGCUGUGAGGCAUUCCCGAGAAGCUCCUUGGUGACUAAGGGCCCUGUGCCCCUGGAGCAAACUCAGCUGUUUACUGAGAAAGGCUUCUCUCUCUUCAUGGUCACUCCCUGGUUCGGGCCUGGAGGGGGACCUGCAGGCACAGCCAGAGACCCUGAGGGGUACACAGAACCUUCCCCAGCUACCUGAUAAAGGGCAUAUGCAGGUGACCAUGUGCCAUCUGUCCAAACUGUGCACCCAUUGGAUCCUUGGAACAGCUCUGAGAGGAAGGUGCAUUGUUCCCACUUUACAGAUGAGGACACCAGGGUGGUUAAUAGUUGUCUAGAGUCACCCGACUAGCGUGUGUCCCACCGGGACGCUCUUCCUCAGGUGCUCUGUGUGGCCUGGCUCCGGCCCUCCCUCCACUUCAGUCCAGCUCAUCACUAGGAUCCCCUCGACACCACCCCUUGCUCAGUCAGGCAGGGGCCCACAGGGACUGGGGCCAGAUUUUCCCAUGGGGAAUGGUGUCACUGUCCCUCCCAGGCAUGGGGCCUGGCGCCCAGGCCCUUCCACUGUCUCUGAGGAUGAAGACACAGGGCUCUGCUGGACUCCCUGGAGGGUACCUGACCUGCUUUCUCUGGGCUAACAGCAGGAGGUCCUGGGGCCCUGAGGAGCAGCUCCCUACUUGGGGGAUCCAGGCCUCACUGCCCCCAGGGACAGCGCAGGAAGUGUGUGCAUAUCUGUGUGUGUGGGAUGGGACAGGAGAGGCAGCUUGGCUUAUACCAGGUGUAGGGGGGAAGCAGUGCAGGCAGCCUGGGCUCUAAACUGCCUGUGGACAGCCCCCUCCCACAAGGGUGAGGAUGGGCACACGGGGCCCCUGUGUCCUGGGCCAGGCUUGGGUUCUUGGAGGCCAGCUGGAGCUUGCCUGCUUUUCUCAGGUAGACCAGGGUCUGCUAUGGACCCUGCUGCCCCCAGAAAGGCCUAGCCUGGUACAGUGGGGUGAGCAGCUGGGGUGUGGCCCCAGGAGCUGGCCCCACCCCCUGCACCAUCCUGCUUUGUCAGAAGCUGUUUGAGGGAGAGAAGAAAGCACCUUAUUAGAUAGAGAUGAGGUCUCACUGUAUUACCCAGAUUGGUCUCGAACUCCUGAGCUCAAGCGAUCCUCUGACCUCAAUCUCAAAAAGUGCUGGGAUUACAGGCGUGAGCCGCCACGCUAGGCCUACCUACCUCUUUCAAGACUCAGCCCCACUACCUAGGGAAACCCAGAUGGAGUCUCCCUCUGUCGCCCAGGCUGGAGUGCAGUGGUUCAAUCUCAGCUCACUGUAA